Molecule: ribosomal RNA, 814 nt
Filed under: uncultured bacterium
Lineage: Bacteria
Description: bacterial SSU rRNA
Rfam family: Bacterial small subunit ribosomal RNA
Source: RNAcentral
AGUCGAAGGGCAUCGGGGAGAGUGCCUGCACUCUCCGCCGGCGACUGGCGCACGGGUGAGUAACACGUAUGCAACCUGCCCUCCACAGGGGGACAACCUUCCGAAAGGGAGGCUAAUCCCGCGUAUAUCCCCCGGGGGCAUCCCCGGGGGAGGAAGGGAAUACCGGUGGAGGAUGGGCAUGCGGCGCAUUAGGCAGUAGGCGGGGUAACGGCCCACCUAGCCGACGAUGCGUAGGGGUUCUGAGAGGAAGGUCCCCCACACUGAUACUGAGACACGGACCAGACUCCUACGGGAGGCAGCAGUGAGGAAUAUUGGUCAAUGGCCGUAAGGCUGAACCAGCCAAGUAGCGUGAGGGAAGACUGCCCUAUGGGUUGUAAACCUCUUUUAUGCGGGGAUAAAGGUGUCCACGUGUGGAUGUUUGCAGGUACCGCAUGAAUAAGGACCGGCUAAUUCCGUGCCAGCAGCCGCGGUAAUACGGAAGGUCCGGGCGUUAUCCGGAUUUAUUGGGUUUAAAGGGAGCGUAGGCCGGUCUUUAAGCGUGCCGUGAAAUUUUGUGGCUCAACCAUGAGAGUGCGGCGCGAACUGGAGACCUUGAGUGCGCGGAAGGCAGGCGGAAUUCGUGGUGUAGCGGUGAAAUGCUUAGAUAUCACGAAGAACCCCGAUUGCGAAGGCAGCCUGCCGCAGCGUUACUGACGCUGAAGCUCGAAAGCGCGGGUAUCGAACAGGAUUAGAUACCCUGGUAGUCCGCGCGGUAAACGAUGGAUGCCCGCUGUCGGCGAUAUACAGUCGGCGGCCAAGCGAAAGCGUUAAGCAU